AAAGCCCGCCGGGCGAUCGCCGGCAGCCCGACUGCCGGAGGAAAGUCCGGACUCCGUAGAGCGGCGUAGCAGGUAACGCCUGCCCACCGUGAGGUGAGGAUCAGAGCAACAGAGACGAGUCUCGGCGGAAUUGCGGUCGCCGCGUGAGCGGCGACCGCAAAGUCUCGACACCGAAGGGGCGGCGGGCGAAGGUCAGCCGUCACUCGGAGAGAGCCAGGUCGGCGGCGCGCAAGCGCCGUCGGCGAUUCGCCGCAAGGUGAAGCGCCGAGGGUGAAACGGGCAAUCUCUACGCGGAGCAACACCAAAUAGGCGACCGACGACCUUGCUCGGGUAGGUCGCGGGUAGGUGGCUCGAGUCCGCCAGCGAUGGCGGACCCAGAGGAAUGAUCGCCACACGGCGCGCCGCGCCGUGCACAGAAUCCGGCUUACAGGCGGGCUUUGCAU
RNAcentral lists this RNase P RNA (443 nucleotides) under Betaproteobacteria bacterium. RNAcentral's name for it is "RNase P RNA component class A". It matches the Rfam family "Bacterial RNase P class A". Rfam says of the family: Ribonuclease P (RNase P) is a ubiquitous endoribonuclease, found in archaea, bacteria and eukarya as well as chloroplasts and mitochondria. Its best characterised activity is the generation of mature 5'-ends of tRNAs by cleaving the 5'-leader elements of precursor-tRNAs. Cellular RNase Ps are ribonucleoproteins. The record is from RNAcentral. Lineage: Bacteria; Pseudomonadati; Pseudomonadota; Betaproteobacteria.